GACGAACGCUGGCGGCGUGCUUAACACAUGCAAGUCGAACGGAAAGGCCCUGCUUUUGUGGGGUGCUCGAGUGGCGAACGGGUGAGUAACACGUGAGUAACCUGCCAUUGACUUUGGGAUAACUUCAGGAAACUGGGGCUAAUACCGGAUAGGAGCUCCUGCUGCAUGGUGGGGGUUGGAAAGUUUCGGCGGUUGGGGAUGGACUCGCGGCUUAUCAGCUUGUUGGAGUGGUAGUGGCUUACCAAGGCUUUGACGGGUAGCCGGCCUGAGAGGGUGACCGGCCACAUUGGGACUGAGAUACGGCCCAGACUCCUACGGGAGGCAGCAGUGGGGAAUAUUGCACAAUGGGCGGAAGCCUGAUGCAGCAACGCCGCGUGCGGGAUGACGGCCUGCGGGUUGUAAACCGCUUUCGCCUUUGACGAAGCGUGAGUGACGGUAAUGGGUAAAGAAGCACCGGCUAACUACGUG
RNAcentral lists this ribosomal RNA (468 nucleotides) under uncultured bacterium. RNAcentral describes it as "partial 16S ribosomal RNA". It matches the Rfam family "Bacterial small subunit ribosomal RNA", at positions 28 to 507 of the family's 1533-position model. The record is from RNAcentral.